This 1060-nucleotide long non-coding RNA is filed under the name Bemisia tabaci. Its description in RNAcentral is "lncRNA ENSSSA2NGG010826". The record is from RNAcentral. Lineage: Eukaryota; Metazoa; Arthropoda; Insecta; Hemiptera; Aleyrodidae.
AGAGGUCUUGUUUUCCUUGGGUGACCCGAUUGGAUGAAUCAAUUGGAACUCAUCUUAUUUUUAACCCUGACAUUGAAACCAUGCUCUCAUAAUGUGGCAUGUAACAGAAUUCAACAUCGUGCAGUCAGAUCACUGAAUCAAGCCUCAUGCGUGAACUUAUUACUGAGUAUAGCUCCCCCUCUCCUGGGUCGAUGUCGCCGUCUUAGUCCCAUAAUUUAAAUCAUAUUACAACAUAGAUGCAUGUACUUCAGAAAAUUUUGGCAGCAUUGUGGAUCUACAGACGGAUGGAUUUUCCUCAUUUUCAAAUAUCGAGUUGUUUCCUCAGUAAUGGAAUUACGUUCUUAAACAUUGUGUUUCCUCCUACCCUUCUCGCAAAUCAAAGAUGUUCCCGAUGGUUCCCCCGCCUAAUCUAAUACUUUGUGAUGUACACAUCUACUUCUUGAAAAUAGAAAGUGUUCGGCUGUGAUUAUGACUGACACCAUUAAAUCGCUCGGCUCUGUCAAACAUCAAACUUUGAGCACAAAGAUCAUAAUAAGAGAGGAACUUGAGCAGAUAUCAAACCACCAUGAUCAUAAAAUUGUUGGAGAUCAUUAUUACGCUGUGUCUAUGGACGUCAAUCGUUUUCUGCUCAACUACCAAUGCUAGGCCCAUGUCCUGAUGACGUCAUGUCAAUGCGCAACUUCUCUUUCGUUCAGUUUUUAGGAAUAUGGCAUGAGCAGUAUCGGUACUUUAUCAGAGGUGAGGAAGGCCACACAUGCGUUGUUUUAAGCUUGGAAAAUAAUGGCGAUGGAGCUAUCGGAAUAACUAUCUGGAACUAUGAUGAAUGUCUGGACAGAGAAACAGUAGUAAAGGGAACCGGCAAACUUGGCGGACGUGGCAGGGAUGAUGGCCGACUUCUAAUUUCAUUUUCUUAUGGUCCGGAUUUACCAUUUUGGGUGAUCGAUACAGACUACGUGACCUACGCUGCUGUGUGGGCUGUAACGAUUAUUGCUCCAUCAACUCCCGUAAGUUCAAAAAUAGAUCAGAGUAUGCGAACUGUUUUUGCUCCUAAGUAAAAUGU